GUUUCGUUAAACAGUAACGCAAAUUCAUUGUUUAAAUGGGAUUCGCCCAUGCAACGUGUAGGAGCCGCAAGUGACAAAGCCACUGAAGCGGUCCCGACCGCCUCCAACUUCCUGAUUAGACAGCCGAGUAGGAUACGUUUAGGACCCACACAGAUUCGGAUCAUCCGACUCGCAACGGAGGGUGAAUUUCCUAUCAACGUCGGGGAUCAAAGAACAUCCCAGUUUUCGAGGUUUCUAUUUGAGACACGUUUCACACCGGACGCAGGGAAAACAUCGAUAACUAUACCGAUUGCUGUGGUUUCUGCUGCGUGGAUUCCAGAACACGAUAAGUAGAAAUGGUUGGCAACCUACGG
Non-coding RNA from Nomia melanderi (Alkali bee), 353 nucleotides. The record is from RefSeq and is a predicted model, not a curated record. Lineage: Eukaryota; Metazoa; Arthropoda; Insecta; Hymenoptera; Halictidae.